CCAUGACUGGAUAAACGUGUUUUUAGCGGGAGUAAUUACAUCGAAUGCUUCGUGGAAAGUUGAAGGAGUCGGAAUUCAUGACACUAGCCGUUUAGAAAAUGUUUUGUGUUAUGCUAUAAAAAUGGAUUUUAUCGAACAAACUGGGCCUUUUGUAUCACCAAAAGAAGAAGAUCUUCAAAGGUGUGAAUGGAUGGGGCAGGUACAGUAGCUGCAGAAAGAGUAUAAAACAGGGCUGCAGAGAGCAGAGAGACACCACACUACUACUGAAGACCAGAAGACAUCAUCCAGAUAAACAGCCAUCAAUCAGACAGCAUCGUCCAACUUAAAGGAUGAAGAUCCAGAGUAUGUUACUGCUGUUUGCUCUAGUGGGUGUCCUGUUAGCAAGCUCCCUCAAUGAAGAUAACUCUGAGGAAGCUCUCCUGCAGGAGGAUGAUCUAAAAAGUGGAAAGGCUGCAUUUUUGGCAAAGUUGGCUGCUCUGAAGACCAGCGCCUCUGAAGAUGAAGCACCAUCAUCAUGGUUCCAUCAUCAUCAUCAUCAUCAUCAUCAUCAUCAUCAUCAUCAUCACCAUGGAUGAUGAGGUACCACGGACGAUUCUUUCCUGGUCUCCAUAUGGAAUCAACAUAACUAACAUUGCCCUACAUGCAUUCAUCCAUUCAUGAUGGCAAUGUUGUAUUGUGAUCCUCCAAUAAAAUAGUCCUUUCACACAUA
This 709-nucleotide long non-coding RNA is filed under the name Salmo salar (Atlantic salmon). RNAcentral describes it as "lncRNA (ENSSSAG00000093595.1)". The record is from RNAcentral. Lineage: Eukaryota; Metazoa; Chordata; Actinopteri; Salmoniformes; Salmonidae.